GCCUCGGAGGUGUAGUGGUAGGACGCUUCUUCGGUAUGGAUGAAACGCGGGUUCAACUCCCGCCUGAGGUC
This is a non-coding RNA of Parelaphostrongylus tenuis, 71 nucleotides long. The record is from the annotation of a GenBank genome assembly. Lineage: Eukaryota; Metazoa; Nematoda; Chromadorea; Rhabditida; Metastrongylidae.